GACGAACGCUGGCGGCGUGCUUAACACAUGCAAGUCGAACGGAAAGGCCCUGCUUUUGUGGGGUGCUCGAGUGGCGAACGGGUGAGUAACACGUGAGUAACCUGCCCUUGACUUUGGGAUAACUUCAGGAAACUGGGGCUAAUACCGGAUAGGAGCUCCUGCUGCAUGGUGGGGGUUGGAAAGUUUCGGCGGUUGGGGAUGGACUCGCGGCUUAUCAGCUUGUUGGUGGGGUAGUGGCUUACCAAGGCUUUGACGGGUAGCCGGCCUGAGAGGGUGACCGGCCACAUUGGGACUGAGAUACGGCCCAGACUCCUACGGGAGGCAGCAGUGGGGAAUAUUGCACAAUGGGCGGAAGCCUGAUGCAGCAACGACGCGUGCGGGAUGACGGCCUUAGGGUUGUAAACCGCUUUCGCCUGUGACGAAGCGUGAGUGACGGUAAUGGGUAAAGAAGCACCGGCUAACUACGUG
RNAcentral lists this ribosomal RNA (468 nucleotides) under uncultured bacterium. RNAcentral's name for it is "partial 16S ribosomal RNA". It matches the Rfam family "Bacterial small subunit ribosomal RNA", at positions 28 to 507 of the family's 1533-position model. The record is from RNAcentral.